GAUGAACGCUGGCGGCGUGCCUAACACAUGCAAGUCGAGCGACCAGAUAAGGAGCUUGCUCCUUUGACGUUAGCGGCGGACGGGUGAGUCACACGUGGGUAACCUACCUAUAAGACUGGGAUAACUUCGGGAAACCGGAGCUAAUACCGGAUAACAUUUGGAACCGCAUGGUUCUAAAGGCCAAGCUGGUUUUGCUAUCACUUAUAGAUGGACCCGCGUCGUAUUAGCUAGUUGGUAAGGUAACGGCUUACCAAGGCGACGAUACGUAGCCGACCUGAGAGGGUGAUCGGCCACACUGGAACUGAGACACGGUCCAGACUCCUACGGGAGGCAGCAGUAGGGAAUCUUCGGCAAUGGGCGAAAGCCUGACGGAGCAACGCCGCGUGAGUGAUGAAGGGUUUCGGCUCGUAAAACGCUGUUAUUAGGGAAGAACAAACGUGGAAGAAACUGUGGACGGCAUGACGGUACCGAAUCAGAAAGCAACGGCUAACUACGUG
Molecule: ribosomal RNA, 497 nt
Filed under: uncultured bacterium
Lineage: Bacteria
Description: partial 16S ribosomal RNA
Rfam family: Bacterial small subunit ribosomal RNA
Source: RNAcentral